UACGGGGGGGGCAAGCGUUGUUCGGAAUUACUGGGCGUAAAGGGCUCGUAGGUGGCCAACUAAGUCAGACGUGAAAUCCCUCGGCUUAACCGGGGAACUGCAUCUGAUACUGGAUGGCUUGAGUUCGGGAGAGGGAUGCGGAAUUCCAGGUGUAGCGGUGAAAUGCGUAGAUAUCUGGAGGAACACCGGUGGCGAAGGCGGCAUCCUGGACCAACACUGACGCUGAGGAGCGAAAGCCAGGGGAGCAAACGGG
RNAcentral lists this ribosomal RNA (253 nucleotides) under uncultured bacterium. RNAcentral describes it as "partial 16S ribosomal RNA". It matches the Rfam family "Bacterial small subunit ribosomal RNA", at positions 524 to 776 of the family's 1533-position model. The record is from RNAcentral.